Macaca nemestrina (pig-tailed macaque) is the source of this 289-nucleotide unclassified non-coding RNA. Its record names the gene 7SK. It matches the Rfam family "7SK RNA". Rfam says of the family: 7SK was discovered as an abundant small nuclear RNA in the mid-70s but a possible function has only recently been suggested. Two independent studies have found that 7SK RNA binds the CDK9/cyclin T complex (known as elongation factor P-TEFb). NCBI's taxonomy places the organism in Eukaryota, Metazoa, Chordata, Mammalia, Primates, Cercopithecidae. The record is from Ensembl.
GGAAGGGAAACUGACAUCUCUCUGUCAAUUAAUAAAGUCUCCUGUGAGUGUGAAGGUAGACUGGCUGGCUAGGUGGUGAUCUUGUUCUCCCUCACAGAUCUUCCAAAGCUGCUUGCUCUGUCAAAGAAGAUGGCAGUCACAAAUAAAGAAAGGCUCUUUAGUGUUCGGAGCUGUGUUUUCCCGCUAGAUCCUCAAAACAGACAUAAUUAGUGUGUUUAUAUGAGAUCUGUUUAGUAGCUAAGAGAGCAUUUGAGAUAAAAGGAAGGUAUCUUAGUCACCUUCCUGCUUU